RNAcentral lists this ribosomal RNA (497 nucleotides) under uncultured bacterium. RNAcentral's name for it is "partial 16S ribosomal RNA". It matches the Rfam family "Bacterial small subunit ribosomal RNA", at positions 28 to 507 of the family's 1533-position model. The record is from RNAcentral.
GAUGAACGCUGGCGGCGUGCCUAAUACAUGCAAGUCGAGCGAACAGACGAGGAGCUUGCUCCUCUGACGUUAGCGGCGGACGGGUGAGUAACACGUGGAUAACCUACCUAUAAGACUGGGAUAACUUCGGGAAACCGGAGCUAAUACCGGAUAAUAUAUUGAACCGCAUGGUUCAAUAGUGAAAGACGGUUUUGCUGUCACUUAUAGAUGGAUCCGCGCCGCAUUAGCUAGUUGGUAAGGUAACGGCUUACCAAGGCAACGAUGCGUAGCCGACCUGAGAGGGGGAACGCCGAAAUAGGAAUGGACACAAGGUCCAGAAUCCUAGGGGAGCAAGAAUGAGGGAAUGUGAGGCAAUGGCGGAAGGCCUAACGGGGCAACGCGGAGUGAGGAAUAAGGGUUUGGGGAGGUGAAAACUCGGUGAAUAGGAAAGAAGAAAAGGGGAAGGAACAAUGCACGUCUUGAGGGUAUGUAAUCAGAAAGAGACGGAUAACUACGUG